GCAUAUCAAUAAGCGGAGGAAAAGAAACCAACAGGGAUUGCCCCAGUAACGGCGAGUGAAGCGGCAAGAGCUCAAAUUUGAAAGCUGGCUCCUUCGGGGUCCGCAUUGUAAUUUGCAGAGGAUGCUUCGGGAGCGGUCCCCAUCUAAGUGCCCUGGAACGGGACGUCAUAGAGGGUGAGAAUCCCGUAUGGGAUGGGGUGUCCGCGCCCGUGUGAAGCUCCUUCGACGAGUCGAGUUGUUUGGGAAUGCAGCUCUAAAUGGGUGGUAAAUUUCAUCUAAAGCUAAAUAUUGGCCGGAGACCGAUAGCGCACAAGUAGAGUGAUCGAAAGAUGAAAAGCACUUUGAAAAGAGAGUUAAAAAGCACGUGAAAUUGUUGAAAGGGAAGCGCUUGCGACCAGACUCGCUCGCGGGGUUCAGCCGGCAUUCGUGCCGGUGUACUUCCCCGCGGGCGGGCCAGCGUCGGUUUGGGCGGUCGGUCAAAGGCCCUCGGAAGGUAACGCCCCCAGGGGCGUCUUAUAGCCGAGGGUGCAAUGCGACCUGCCUAGACCGAGGAACGCGCUUCGGCUCGGACGCUGGCAUAAUGGUCGUAAACGACCCGUCUUGAAACACGGACCAAGGAGUCUAACAUCUACGCGAGUGUUCGGGUGUCAAACCCGUGCGCGAAGUGAAAGCGAACGGAGGUGGGAACCCUUACGGGUGCACCAUCGACCGAUCCUGAAGUCUUCGGAUGGAUUUGAGUAAGAGCGUAGCUGUUGGGACCCGAAAGAUGGUGAACUAUGCCUGAAUAGGGCGAAGCCAGAGGAAACUACUGGUGGAGGCUCGUAGCGGUUCUGACGUGCAAAUCGAUCGUCGAAUUUGGGGUAUAGGGGCGAAAGACUAAUCGAACCAUCUGGUAGCUGGUUCCUGCCGA
This 910-nucleotide ribosomal RNA is filed under the name Penicillium verrucosum. RNAcentral describes it as "LSU rRNA". It matches the Rfam family "Eukaryotic large subunit ribosomal RNA", at positions 38 to 964 of the family's 3401-position model. Lineage: Eukaryota; Fungi; Ascomycota; Eurotiomycetes; Eurotiales; Aspergillaceae. The record is from RNAcentral.